GUCGCAAGACCGGUGAAGACCUAGUGGCGAACGGGUGAGUAACACGUGAGGAACCUGCCCCGAAGACCGGGAUAACCCACCGAAAGGUGAGCUAAUACCGGAUACCUUCACGACGUCUCAUGGCGAUGUGAAGAAAUGGAUUCCGCUUCGGGAGGGUCUCGCGGCCUAUCAGCUAGUUGGUGAGGUAACGGCUCACCAAGGCGACGACGGGUAGCUGUUCUGAGAGGAAGAUCAGCCACACUGGGACUGAGACACGGCCCAGACUCCUACGGGAGGCAGCAGUGGGGAAUCUUGCGCAAUGGGCGAAAGCCUGACGCAGCGACGCCGCGUGCGGGAAGACGGCCUUCGGGUUGUAAACCGCUUUCAGCAGGGACGAAAAUGACGGUACCUGCAGAAGAAGCUCCGGCCAACUACGUGCCAGCAGCCGCGGUAAGACGUAGGGGGCGAGCGUUGUCCGGAAUUAUUGGGCGUAAAGGGCUCCUAGGUUGUUCAGUAAGUCGACUGUGAAAAUCCAAGGCUCAACCUUGGGACGCCAGUCGAUACUGCUGUGACUCGAGUUCGGUAGAGGAGUGUGGAAUUCCUGGUGUAGCGGUGAAAUGCGCAGAUAUCAGGAGGAACACCAACGGCGAAGGCAGCACUCUGGGCCGAUACUGACACUGAAGAGCGAAAGCAUGGGGAGCAAACAGGAUUAGAUACCCUGGUAGUCCAUGCCGUAAACGUUGGG
Molecule: ribosomal RNA, 724 nt
Filed under: uncultured Actinomycetes bacterium
Lineage: Bacteria; Bacillati; Actinomycetota; Actinomycetes
Description: bacterial SSU rRNA
Rfam family: Bacterial small subunit ribosomal RNA
Source: RNAcentral